This 106-nucleotide non-coding RNA is filed under the name Escherichia coli. RNAcentral describes it as "antisense sRNA RprA". It matches the Rfam family "RprA RNA". From Rfam's summary of the family: Translational regulation of the stationary phase sigma factor RpoS is mediated by the formation of a double-stranded RNA stem-loop structure in the upstream region of the rpoS messenger RNA, occluding the translation initiation site. Clones carrying rprA (RpoS regulator RNA A) increased the translation of RpoS. The rprA gene encodes a 106 nucleotide regulatory RNA. Lineage: Bacteria; Pseudomonadati; Pseudomonadota; Gammaproteobacteria; Enterobacterales; Enterobacteriaceae. The record is from RNAcentral.
ACGGUUAUAAAUCAACAUAUUGAUUUAUAAGCAUGGAAAUCCCCUGAGUGAAACAACGAAUUGCUGUGUAGUCUUUGCCCAUCUCCCACGAUGGGCUUUUUUUUAA